RNAcentral lists this ribosomal RNA (253 nucleotides) under uncultured prokaryote. RNAcentral describes it as "partial 16S ribosomal RNA". It matches the Rfam family "Bacterial small subunit ribosomal RNA", at positions 524 to 776 of the family's 1533-position model. The record is from RNAcentral.
UACGGAGGGUACAAGCAUUAAUCGGAAUUACUGGGCGUAAAGGGCGCGUAGGCGGGAAAGGAAGUCAGAUGUGAAAUACCGGGGCUCAACUUCGGUGCUGCAUCUGAGACUCCUUUUCUGGAGGGUCAGCGGAGAAAAUGGAAUUCCACGUGUAGCGGUGAAAUGCGUAGAUAUGUGGAGGAACACCAGUGGCGAAAGCGGUUUUCUAGCUGAUUACUGACGCUGAGGCGCGAAAGCAAGGGGAGCAAACAGG